GAUGAACGCUGGCGGCGUGCCUAAUUCAUGCAAGUCGAGCGAACAGACGAGGAGCUUGCUCCUCUGACGUUAGCGGCGGACGGGUGAGUAACACGUGGAUAACCUACCUAUAAGACUGGGAUAACUUCGGGAAACCGGAGCUAAUACCGGAUAAUAUAUUGAACCGCAUGGUUCAAUAGUGAAAGACGGUUUUGCUGUCACUUAUAGAUGGAUCCGCGCCGCAUUAGCUAGUUGGUAAGGUAACGGCUUACCAAGGCGACGAUGCGUAGCCGACCUGAGAGGGUGAUCGGCCACACUGGAACUGAGACACGGUCCAGACUCCUACGGGAGGCAGCAGUAGGGAAUCUUCCGCAAUGGGCGAAAGCCUGACGGAGCAACGCCGCGUGAGUGAUGAAGGUCUUCGGAUCGUAAAACUCUGUUAUUAGGGAAGAACAAAUGUGUAAGUAACUAUGUACGUCUUGACGGUACCUAAUCAGAAAGCCACGGCUAACUACGUG
RNAcentral lists this ribosomal RNA (497 nucleotides) under uncultured bacterium. Its description in RNAcentral is "partial 16S ribosomal RNA". It matches the Rfam family "Bacterial small subunit ribosomal RNA", at positions 28 to 507 of the family's 1533-position model. The record is from RNAcentral.